This 200-nucleotide long non-coding RNA is filed under the name Elaeis guineensis (African oil palm). Its description in RNAcentral is "long non-coding RNA (EGUI_LNC073028)". The record is from RNAcentral. Lineage: Eukaryota; Viridiplantae; Streptophyta; Magnoliopsida; Arecales; Arecaceae.
GUGUGUGUGUCAAGAUGGGAUUGACCACUCCAGUUCAGGAGCUGUGUACAGUCGUGUUUCAAUUUAGCAAAAUCUUGACCAGGGUAGUCCUAGUGAGGAGUCACAGGACUGUUUGAGUUGAGCACAAUUCGGAUGAUCUGAUCAGGGUUGACAGUUUAAUCUUGAGUCAUCCUAUACACAGGGGUCAAAAGAGAUGAAUU